This is a non-coding RNA of Glycine max (soybean), 42 nucleotides long. The record is from Rfam. Lineage: Eukaryota; Viridiplantae; Streptophyta; Magnoliopsida; Fabales; Fabaceae.
ACAUCGGUUUUUUUAAAAACCAAUGUUAACAAGAACAUGUUA